GUAGAAGAAGUGUGUGGGGGCUAGUUUUUAGUACGUAAGCGUCAUGGAUGGCGAAUCGUGCAUGCUGCUACUGAGAACCAGCAGUAUCUUCCGAAGAUUUUCUACCUCCUGC
Non-coding RNA from Glossina austeni, 112 nucleotides. The record is from Rfam. NCBI's taxonomy places the organism in Eukaryota, Metazoa, Arthropoda, Insecta, Diptera, Glossinidae.